This 468-nucleotide ribosomal RNA is filed under the name uncultured bacterium. Its description in RNAcentral is "partial 16S ribosomal RNA". It matches the Rfam family "Bacterial small subunit ribosomal RNA", at positions 28 to 507 of the family's 1533-position model. The record is from RNAcentral.
GACGAACGCUGGCGGCGUGCUUAACACAUGCAAGUCGAACGGAAAGGCCCUGCUUUUGUGGGGUGCUCGAGUGGCGAACGGGUGAGUAACACGUGAGUAAACUGCACUUGAAUUUGGGAUAAAUUUAGGAAACAGGGGCUAAAACCGGGUAGGAGCUCCUGCUGCACGGUGGGGGUUGGAAAGUUUCGGCGGUUGUGGAUGGACUCGCGGCUUAUCAGCUUGUUGGUGGGGUAGUGGCUUACCAAGGCUUUGACGGGUAGCCGGGCUGAGAGGGUGACCGGCCACAUUGGGACUGAGAGACGGACCAGACUCCUACGGGAGGCAGCAGUGGGGAAUAUUGCACAAUGGGCGGAAGCCUGAUGCAGCAACGCCGCGUGCGGGAUGACGGCCUUCGGGUUGUAAACCGCUUUCGCCUGUGACGAAGCGUGAGUGACGGUAAUGGGUAAAGAAGCACCGGCUAACUACGUG